RNAcentral lists this ribosomal RNA (253 nucleotides) under uncultured bacterium. RNAcentral's name for it is "partial 16S ribosomal RNA". It matches the Rfam family "Bacterial small subunit ribosomal RNA", at positions 524 to 776 of the family's 1533-position model. The record is from RNAcentral.
UACGUAGGGGGCAAGCGUUGUCCGGAUUUAUUGGGCGUAAAGAGCGUGUAGGCGGCCAGGUAGGUCUGCUGUGAAAACUCGAGGCUUAACCUCGAGAUGUCGGCGGAAACCAUCUGGCUAGAGUCCGGAAGAGGAGAGUGGAAUUCCUGGUGUAGCGGUGAAAUGCGCAGAUAUCAGGAAGAACACCAAUGGCGAAGGCAGCUCUCUGGGACGGUACUGACGCUGAGACGCGAAAGCGUGGGGAGCGAACAGG